Long non-coding RNA from Neomonachus schauinslandi (Hawaiian monk seal), 208 nucleotides. RefSeq lists it as uncharacterized. The transcript has 3 exons. NCBI's taxonomy places the organism in Eukaryota, Metazoa, Chordata, Mammalia, Carnivora, Phocidae. The record is from RefSeq and is a predicted model, not a curated record.
UAAAAAUAUUUUGUGCAGUUUGGAAGAACUAGAGGUCAGGAUUGCUUGACCUAGCGUCUCCAAGCAAACCCAAGUCAAGUAAGCUGCCAAGGUGACCUAGGAAGAGGGUGGCCCUAUGAGCUCUAGCAGCCAAUGGCCUGGGACCGCACCCUGGGAGGCAGCCAAGACAAAGAAUCCAAUCCAGGAUCCUGCGUUUGCAUUUAGUUGC